AGCGAACGCUGGCGGUAGGCCUAACACAUGCAAGUCGAACGGCAGCACAGCAGUAGCAAUACUGUGGGUGGCGAGUGGCGGACGGGUGAGGAAUACAUCGGAAUCUACCUUUUCGUGGGGGGAUAACGUAGGGAAACUUACGCUAAUACCGCAUACGACCUUAGGGUGAAAGCGGAGGACCUUCGGGCUUCGCGCGGAUAGAUGAGCCGAUGUCGGAUUAGCUAGUUGGCGGGGAAAGGCCCACCAACGGCUACGAUCCGUAGCUGGUCUGAGAGGAUGAUCAGCCACACUGGAACUG
Molecule: ribosomal RNA, 298 nt
Filed under: uncultured bacterium
Lineage: Bacteria
Description: partial 16S ribosomal RNA
Rfam family: Bacterial small subunit ribosomal RNA
Source: RNAcentral